RNAcentral lists this ribosomal RNA (255 nucleotides) under uncultured bacterium. RNAcentral's name for it is "partial 16S ribosomal RNA". It matches the Rfam family "Bacterial small subunit ribosomal RNA", at positions 524 to 776 of the family's 1533-position model. The record is from RNAcentral.
UACGUAGGGGGCUAGCGUUGUCCGGAAUCAUUGGGCGUAAAGAGCGUGUAGGCGGCCCGGUAAGUCCGCUGUAAAAGUCAAAGGCUCAACCUUUGAAUGUCAGUGGAUACUGCCGGGCUAGAGUCCGGAAGAGGCGAGUGGAACUCCUGGUGUAGCGGUGGAAUGCGCAGAUAUCAGGAAGAACACCAACGGCGAAGGGCAGCCUCGCUGGGACGGUACUGACGCUGAGACGCGAAAGCGUGGGGAGCGAACAGG